RNAcentral lists this ribosomal RNA (432 nucleotides) under uncultured bacterium. RNAcentral describes it as "partial 16S ribosomal RNA". It matches the Rfam family "Bacterial small subunit ribosomal RNA", at positions 29 to 506 of the family's 1533-position model. The record is from RNAcentral.
AACGAACGCUGGCGGCAUGCCUAACACAUGCAAGUCGAACGAGACCUUCGGGUCUAGUGGCGCACGGGUGCGUAACGCGUGGGAACCUGCCCUUAGGUUCGGAAUAACUCCCCGAAAGGGGUGCUAAUACCGGAUAAUGUCUUCGGACCAAAGAUUUAUCGCCUUUGGAUGGGCCCGCGUUGGAUUAGCUAGUUGGUAGGGUAAAAGCCUACCAAGGCGACGAUCCAUAGCUGGUCUGAGAGGAGGAUCAGCCACACUGGGACUGGGACACGGCCCAGACUCCUACGGGAGGCAGCAGUGGGGAAUAUUGGACAAGGGGCGAAAGCCUGAUCCAGCAAGGCCGCGUGAGUGAUGAAGGCCUUAGGGUUGUAAAGCUCUUUUACCCGGGAUGAUAAUGACAGUACCGGGAGAAUAAACUCCGGCUAACUCCGU